AACGAACGUUAGCGGCGCGCCUAACACAUGCAAGUCGCACGAGAAAGGGCUUCGGCCUCGGUAAAGUGGGCGCACGGGUGAGUAACACGUGGGUAAUCUGCCCUCGAGCGGGGGGAUAACAUUCCGAAAGGAGUGCUAAUACCGCAUAAGACCACGACCUACGAAAGAGGAUGCGGUCAAAGCUGGCCUCUAUACAUAAGCUAGCACUUGAGGAUGAGCCCGCGGCGCAUCAGGUAGUUGGUGAGGUAACGGCUCACCAAGACCAAAGACGCGUAGCUGGUCUGAGAGGAUGAUCAGCCACACUGGAACUGAGACAC
Molecule: ribosomal RNA, 317 nt
Filed under: uncultured bacterium
Lineage: Bacteria
Description: bacterial SSU rRNA
Rfam family: Bacterial small subunit ribosomal RNA
Source: RNAcentral